Molecule: ribosomal RNA, 253 nt
Filed under: uncultured bacterium
Lineage: Bacteria
Description: partial 16S ribosomal RNA
Rfam family: Bacterial small subunit ribosomal RNA
Source: RNAcentral
UACGGAGGGUGCAAGCGUUAUCCGGAUUCACUGGGUUUAAAGGGUGCGUAGGUGGGCAGGUAAGUCAGCGGUGAAAUCUCCGGGCUUAACUCGGAAACUGCCAUUGAUACUAUCUGUCUUGAAUACCGUGGAGGUUAGCGGAAUAUGUCAUGUAGCGGUGAAAUGCUUAGAUAUGACAUAGAACACCAAUUGCGAAGGCAGCUGGCUACACGAAUAUUGACACUGAUGCACGAAAGCGUGGGGAUCAAACAGG